UGCCAGCAGCCGCGGUAAUACGGAGGGUGCAAGCGUUACUNGGAAUCACUGGGCGUAAAGCGCGCGCAGGCGGCUAUUUAAGUUGGAUGUGAAAGCCUACGGCUCAACCGUAGAACUGCAUCCAAAACUAUUUAGCUAGAGUGUGGGAGAGGAAGAUGGAAUUAGUUGUGUAGGGGUAAAAUCCGUAGAGAUAACUAGGAAUACCAAAAGCGAAGGCAAUCUUCUGGAACAUUACUGACGCUGAGGCGCGAAAGCGUGGGGAGCAAACAGGAUUAGAUACCCUGGUAGUCCACGCCCUAAACGAUGAAUGUUAGUCGUCGGGUAGCUAGUCUAUUCGGUGAUGCAGCUAACGCAUUAAACAUUCCGCCUGGGGAGUACGGUCGCAAGAUUAAAACUCAAAGGAAUAGACGGGGACCCGCACAAGUGGUGGAGCAUGUGGUUUAAUUCGAAGAUACGCGAAGAACCUUACCUAGCCUUGACAUAUAUUAGAACUCCGCAGAGAUGCAGAGGUGCCUUCGGGAGCUUUUAUACAGGUGCUGCACGGCUGUCGUCAGCUCGUGUCGUGAGAUGUUGGGUUAAGUCCCGCAACGAGCGCAACCCUCGUCACUAGUUACUAACGGUUCGGCCGAGGACUCUAGUGAGACUGCCUUCGUAAGGAGGAGGAAGGUGAGGACGACGUCAAGUCAUCAUGGCCCUUACGGCUAGGGCAACACAAGUGCUACAAUGGCCAGGACAAUGAGAAGCGAUACCGCGAGGUGGAGCAAAUCUAUAAACCUGGUCUCAGUUCGGAUUGUAGUCUGCAACUCGACUACAUGAAGCUGGAAUCACUAGUAAUCGUAGAUCAGCUAUGCUACGGUGAAUACGUUCCCGGGUCUUGUACUCACCGCCCGUC
This 892-nucleotide ribosomal RNA is filed under the name uncultured bacterium. RNAcentral describes it as "bacterial SSU rRNA". It matches the Rfam family "Bacterial small subunit ribosomal RNA", at positions 506 to 1398 of the family's 1533-position model. The record is from RNAcentral.